Long non-coding RNA from Microplitis mediator, 2929 nucleotides. RefSeq lists it as uncharacterized. The transcript is spliced from 3 exons. Lineage: Eukaryota; Metazoa; Arthropoda; Insecta; Hymenoptera; Braconidae. The record is from RefSeq and is a predicted model, not a curated record.
CAGACUUGUGCACGAUAUCGUGAUGCUUUGUCGCAAUUCAUUCGCAUGGUGGUCAACAUCGGAGAUAUAGAAGGCUCUGGAAGCAUCUCGAGUCAUCGAUGCGAGCGAUUCCAAUGAACGUCAUGAUGAUUUAACAUCAGGAGAUCGCGUUUGCGGCUCAUCGCCAGUGAUUAAUUAAGAUGAUUCGCUGAUGACUUCAAGGAAAGGAGAGAGAGUAAUAGUAGAUGUAUAUUUAUAUAUAUAUAUAUAAAUAUAACAAGUAUGAGUGUGUGAGCGCAGUCACUACUGACCAGCUAGACAGCCAACGGAGGAGAGUAAGAAAAGUGAGUGUCUGAAGCAUCCAAAUAUAAUUCAAAACUCACAUGUGUGAUGGCUCGUAGACCAAACUCCCCCAAAAAGGAAUAAGUCGUUUUAACUUCCCAGAAUUCCGCGACCAUUACGCAGCUUUGCUUUAAAUACCUCUCAGGUCUUUGCUCUACAUUUUUAAAUUACAUUUCAUAAUUAUAAUAUUUUUAUUUAUUUAAAUUUUUAAAUUCAAAGGGACUCGAGUAUUCUCUUGGUCGUGGGUUUUAUUAAGUCCGCUCUUAAGUAGAUAAUAAAAAUGUUUGUGCAAAAUAUUAAAAUAAAUAAUCUGCGGCAUCAUUGUAAUGGAAAAGAUUACAUAUUUUUAAAAAUAACUUCGUACCUUAAGGAUUAAAUACUAAGCAUAAAAUUUAUAAAUGCAGAAUUAAUUUUUGAAACAUGUUUUUUAUUAUUAAAAUAAAGUAAUAAUUAUUAUAUUAUUAUACUUAAUGAUUCUUCGUCUAAGGGUUUUAUUUACAAGGAAAAAUUUGUUGUAAAACAAAUUAGUUUUGGCAUAAAAUUAAUAUUUAAAUAUUUUACAUAUUUUCAUGUUAUUUUUACAGUUCAUAUCGGCAUAUUUCAAUGGAAAAAACAAUUUUCAUCAUUUGUUCACUAUUUUUUUCUUUUUUAAAUUCCUCACAUUACAGGAUAAAAGCAUUCAAUAACAAAAAUUCCCAGCACUUGAACACACGAUUAUUUUAUACGGAUGUGCCCAAUUACUAGAGAUUAUCACAAAUAAAAUAAUUAAAUAGAUUAAAAUAUAUAACAAACGAAUACUCUCAAUUACGCAAAGAACAAUAGAUUUAAUUAUUAAGAAAUAUGAUAAGUUUUUUUUUUUAAAUCACAGUAAUUAAUAAAUCUAUUAAAAAAUAAUAAAAACUUGGCUAUUUAUAGUAGUAAUGCUUUUAUCCACAAUUAAGAAUAUAUAUAGCAAAAAAAAAAAAUAUUUAUUAUCGCUGCGCGAUAAAACGCAAACAAAAAACAGCUCGACAGUAAAAAACGAAUUCAACGAUUUUGUUUGGUUUAAAAUUACAGCGAUUUUUUACUAAGUGUCCACGGCGCCAAAGAUGAUCAUUGUUUGAAUAAUAAAUCCAGUAAUACGCUGAUCGUUUAUGUAACCGAUGUACGCAAAAACACGAAAUGUCAUUAAUAAUUUACAGUAAUGUAAACUCUUUUAUUAACUUUAACAAAAGAACUUAUCAUUACAUCAUAUUGUCCAUGUGCGCACACGUAUACUACUGUUGAAACAAGUGUGUGUUGUGUAUACGUAUGCCUCCAAGAAGUUCCGGCCCUCUUUUUUGGCGGCUGAUGGUCCAAUACCAUUUGUAUUUUCGUGUACCCGGUCAAUACUUCAAUAUAAUAUAUAUGUAGAUAUUUUUUUUCUUAUACAGUAAGACCGCAAUCUUGAUGUCUAUGUCUUGGAAGCUCUGGCACGUAAAGUUCUUCGUCACUUUCCGAAUCAUCACUUAUGUCUGAAUCAGAUUCAGGCUUGUACUUUGGAUCGGCACCAAACUGUACGAGUUUGUUUGCUAAUUGCAUAUUGAUACACGCAGCCAAUUGAUACGCGGUUAAUCCUGCGUAAUUCGGUGUGUCGAAACAGGGUCUGCACUCGUUCAAAAUAAAAUUUAAAACAGAGUGACAGUUGGAUUCAACGGCAAUAUGAAGCGCCGUUUUUCCCCCCAAGCCUUCUCUUGCUUCAAGAUUUGCUCCAAGCCGCAACAACAAUCGCAUGAUGUCUGCGUGAUCAUUUUUGGCGGCGAUAUGGAUGCACAUUUGUCCUGAAAAAAUAAAGUUAAUAAUUUAUUUAGCUGAGUUUUCAUUUAUAAGUGCAGUUGAGUAUUUUUAUGAUGGAUAAAUAAAACUAAUAAGUUUAAAUGAGUGUCUGGUGGCGUCUGCUGGUUCAUAACAUUGCUUCCGAGCAUGCAAAUGACGUCGAGAAAGUUUUAAAUGAAACAAUAUGUGAAUGUUAAAUUUGGAAAGCGAGCAGGAAGAGUAGAUGUGAGACGAAAUGAGUACGCAAUAAAAGCAUAUGUGAUCCACCGACUUCUACGCUAGUGCUGGGGCUUUCCCAAGUCGAGAAUGCCGACGAGCGCGGGCGCAAAUAACCCUACAGGUAUUUUAAAAUGUCUAAAACAUCUGGUCUGUCUCAUCGUCGCGUGAUGUAACCGCCCAGACAACUUAUUUUGCUAUUCAUAAUUAAUCUCAAUAACUUGGUCUUACAAUCAUUUUUACUAGCUCACGCAAAUCAUUUUUUGGUACCAGAUAAAAUAUCAGUAAAGUUUUACCGAUGACUUUUACAAUUUUAAAUUAACGAGCAAAAAAUAUGAAUCCCGUUUUUCUUAAAAAAAAUAACGAUCAUAAAAAUAAAUAAAAUAAAAUAAAAAAAAAAUAAUAAAUAAAAUGCUGAUGGCAAAGUUUCUUAUGACAGUAUUUAAGUAUCGCUCGUUUAACUGGGGGAAAAUCCCAGCCGACGAGACUCUUGGGCGAAAUACCUCAUCAGAAAUUUUGUAUCGCGUAUUUUCCCAACUCCCAUACACGCGUAUCCUCUCUCUUUUCAUUUCACUCAUUGAAUAAAUAUUUUUAUACC